Small nuclear RNA from Nycticebus coucang (slow loris), 106 nucleotides. The record is from RefSeq and is a predicted model, not a curated record. NCBI's taxonomy places the organism in Eukaryota, Metazoa, Chordata, Mammalia, Primates, Lorisidae.
GUUCUCACUCCAGCAGCACAUAUACUAAAAUUGGAAUGAUACAGAGAAGAUUAGCAUGGCCCCUGUACAAAGUAACACACAAAGUCAUGAAGCCUUCCAGAUUACU